GACGAACGCUGGCGGCGUGCUUAACACAUGCAAGUCGAACGGAAAGGCCCUGCUUUUGUGGGGUGCUCGAGUGGCGAACGGGUGAGUAACACGUGAGUAACCUGCCCUUGACUUUGGGAUAACUUCAGGAAACUGGGGCUAAUACCGGAUAGGAGCUCCUGCUGCAUGGUGGGGGUUGGAAAGUUUCGGCGGUUGGGGGUGGACUCGCGGCUUAUCAGCUUGUUGGUGGGGUAGUGGCUUACCAAGGCUUUGACGGGUAGCCGGCCUGAGAGGGUGACCGGCCACAUUGGGACUGAGAUACGGCCCAGAUUCCUACGGGAGGCAGCAGUGGGGAAUAUUGCACAAUGGGCGGAAGCCUGAUGCAGCAACGCCGCGUGCGGGAUGACGGCCUUCGGGUUGUAAACCGCUUUCGCCUGUGACGAAGCGUGAGUGACGGUAAUGGGUAAAGAAGCACCGGCUAACUACGUG
RNAcentral lists this ribosomal RNA (468 nucleotides) under uncultured bacterium. RNAcentral describes it as "partial 16S ribosomal RNA". It matches the Rfam family "Bacterial small subunit ribosomal RNA", at positions 28 to 507 of the family's 1533-position model. The record is from RNAcentral.